Molecule: ribosomal RNA, 253 nt
Filed under: uncultured bacterium
Lineage: Bacteria
Description: partial 16S ribosomal RNA
Rfam family: Bacterial small subunit ribosomal RNA
Source: RNAcentral
UACGUAGGGUGCGAGCGUUAAUCGGAAUUACUGGGCGUAAAGCGUGCGUAGGCGGUUCGUUGUGUCUGUGGUGAAAGCCCCGGGCUUAACCUGGGAAUGGCCAUGGAAACUGGCGAGCUGGAGUGUGGCAGAGGGGGGUGGAAUUCCGCGUGUAGCAGUGAAAUGCGUGGAGAUGCGGAGGAACACCGAUGGCGAAGGCAGCCCCCUGGGCUAACACUGACGCUGAGGCACGAAAGCGUGGGGAGCAAACAGG